AAGUUAAUAAGAUUGAUUUCUAAUUUUGUUAUCUCUUCCAAUGAGAUCACUUGUUCUAUGUUCUAAUCCAACUUUAGAGAAUUGACUCAAACAAGAUGUUCCAAAGUUCUCAUGUUAUAUUUGCUAUUUUAUUGGCUUGGGGUAUGAAUAUUUGUUGUUCUUUUAGAUUUUUGCCCACCAAUGGUGUUGCUGAGUGCAGUCUCUGAUUUCCAAAAUUGGUUCUUAU
RNAcentral lists this unclassified non-coding RNA (226 nucleotides) under Hevea brasiliensis (rubber tree). The record is from RNAcentral. Lineage: Eukaryota; Viridiplantae; Streptophyta; Magnoliopsida; Malpighiales; Euphorbiaceae.